Molecule: ribosomal RNA, 465 nt
Filed under: uncultured bacterium
Lineage: Bacteria
Description: partial 16S ribosomal RNA
Rfam family: Bacterial small subunit ribosomal RNA
Source: RNAcentral
CCUACGGGGUGCAGCAGUAGGGAAUCUUCCACAAUGGGCGAAAGCCUGAUCGAGCAACGCCGCGUGGGUGAAGAAGGUCUUCGGAUCGUAAAACCCUGUUGGUAGAGAAGAAAGUGCGUGAGAGUAACUGUUCACGUUUCGACGGUAUCUAACCAGAAAGCCACGGCUAACGACGUGCCAGCAGCCGCGGUAAUACGUAGGUGGCAAGCGUUAUCCGGAUUUAUUGGGCGUAAAGGGAACGCAGGCGGUCUUUUAAGUCUGAUGUGAAAGCCUUGGGCUUAACCGGAGUAGUGCAUUGGAUACUGGGAGACUGGAGUGCAGAAGAGGAGAGUGGAACUCCAUGUGUAGCGGUGAAAUGCGUAGAUAUAUGGAAGAACACCAGUGGCGAAGGCGGCUCUCUGGUCUGUAACUGACGCUGAGGUUCGAAAGCGUGGGUAGCAAACAGGAUUAGAUACCCUAGUAGUC